AACGAACGCUGGCGGCGCGCCUAACACAUGCAAGUCGAACGAGAAUCCGGGGCAACCCGGUAGUAAAGUGGCAAACGGGUGAGGAAUACAUGGGUAACCUACCCUUGAGAAGGGAAUAACCCGCCGAAAGGUGAGCUAAUACCCUAUACGCUAUCUUUUUUCGAAAGGAUAGGAAAGCCGGGUCGAGGGCCUGGUACUCAAGGAGGGGCUCAUGUCCUAUCAGCUUGUUGGUGGGGUAACGGCCUACCAAGGCUACGACGGGUAGCUGGUCUGAGAGGAUGAUCAGCCACACUGGCACUGAGAUACGGGCCAGACUCCUACGGGAGGCAGCAGUGAGGAAUAUUGCGCAAUGGGCGAAAGCCUGACGCAGCGACG
Molecule: ribosomal RNA, 375 nt
Filed under: uncultured bacterium
Lineage: Bacteria
Description: bacterial SSU rRNA
Rfam family: Bacterial small subunit ribosomal RNA
Source: RNAcentral